RNAcentral lists this ribosomal RNA (504 nucleotides) under uncultured bacterium. RNAcentral describes it as "partial 16S ribosomal RNA". It matches the Rfam family "Bacterial small subunit ribosomal RNA", at positions 30 to 523 of the family's 1533-position model. The record is from RNAcentral.
AUUGAACGCUGGCGGCAGGCCUAACACAUGCAAGUCGAGCGGUAACACAGGGAGCUUGCUCCUGGGUGACGAGCGGCGGACGGGUGAGUAAUGUCUGGGAAACUGCCUGAUGGAGGGGGAUAACUACUGGAAACGGUAGCUAAUACCGCAUAACGUCGCAAGACCAAAGAGGGGGACCUUCGGGCCUCUUGCCAUCAGAUGUGCCCAGAUGGGAUUAGCUAGUAGGUGGGGUAAUGGCUCACCUAGGCGACGAUCCCUAGCUGGUCUGAGAGGAUGACCAGCCACACUGGAACUGAGACACGGUCCAGACUCCUACGGGAGGCAGCAGUGGGGAAUAUUGCACAAUGGGCGCAAGCCUGAUGCAGCCAUGCCGCGUGUAUGAAGAAGGCCUUCGGGUUGUAAAGUACUUUCAGCGGGGAGGAAGGUGUUGAGGUUAAUAACCUCAGCAAUUGACGUUACCCGCAGAAGAAGCACCGGCUAACUCCGUGCCAGCCGCCGCAGUAA